GUGGGGAAUUUUGGACAAUGGGCGCAAGCCUGAUCCAGCAAUGCCGCGUGCAGGAAGAAGGCCUUCGGCUUGUAAACUGCUUUUGUACGGAACGAAACGGUCCGGGUUAAUACCCUGGGCUAAUGACGGUACCGUAAGAAUAAGCACCGGCUAACUACGUGCCAGCAGCCGCGGUAAUACGUAGGGUGCAAGCGUUAAUCGGAAUUACUGGGCGUAAAGCGUGCGCAGGCGGUUUUGUAAGACAGAGGUGAAAUCCCCGGGCUCAACCUGGGAACUGCCUUUGUGACUGCAAGGCUAGAGUACGGCAGAGGGGGAUGGAAUUCCGCGUGUAGCAGUGAAAUGCGUAGAUAUGCGGAGGAACACCGAUGGCGAAGGCAAUCCCCUGGGCCUGUACUGACGCUCAUGCACGAAAGCGUGGGGAGCAAACAGGAUUAGAAACCCGAGUAGUCC
RNAcentral lists this ribosomal RNA (450 nucleotides) under uncultured bacterium. Its description in RNAcentral is "partial 16S ribosomal RNA". It matches the Rfam family "Bacterial small subunit ribosomal RNA", at positions 354 to 796 of the family's 1533-position model. The record is from RNAcentral.